This 467-nucleotide ribosomal RNA is filed under the name uncultured bacterium. RNAcentral describes it as "partial 16S ribosomal RNA". It matches the Rfam family "Bacterial small subunit ribosomal RNA", at positions 28 to 507 of the family's 1533-position model. The record is from RNAcentral.
GAUGAACGCUGGCGGCGUGCCUAACACAUGCAAGUCGAACGGUGAAGCAGAGCUUGCUCUGUGGAUCAGUGGCGAACGGGUGAGUAACACGUGAGCAGCCUGCCCCUGACUCUGGGAUAAGCGCUGGAAACGGCGUCUAAUACUGGAUAUGAGCUGCGACCGCAUGGUCAGCAGUUGGAAAGAUUUUUCGGUCUGGGAUGGGCUCACGGCCUAUCAGCUUGUUGGUGAGGUAAUGGCUCACCAAGGCGUCGACGGGUAGCCGGCCUGAGAGGGUGACCGGCCACACUGGGACUGAGACACGGCCCAGACUCCUACGGGAGGCAGCAGUGGGGAAUAUUGCACAAUGGGCGAAAGCCUGAUGCAGCAACGCCGCGUGAGGGAUGACGGCCUUCGGGUUGUAAACCUCUUUUAGCAGGGAAGAAGCGAAAGCGACGGUACCUGCAGAAAAAGCGCCGGCUAACUACGUG